Molecule: ribosomal RNA, 253 nt
Filed under: uncultured bacterium
Lineage: Bacteria
Description: partial 16S ribosomal RNA
Rfam family: Bacterial small subunit ribosomal RNA
Source: RNAcentral
UACGGAGGGUGCAAGCGUUAUCCGGAUUCACUGGGUUUAAAGGGUGCGUAGGCGGCUUGCCAAGUCAGUGGUGAAAGCCCGCGGCUUAACCGUGGAAUUGCCAUUGAAACUGGCUGGCUCGAGUAUGAUUGAAGUGGAUGGAAUACAUCAUGUAGCGGUGAAAUGCUUAGAUAUGAGGUAGAACACCAAUUGCGAAGGCAGUUCACUAAGUCAUAACUGACGCUGAGGCACGAAAGCGUGGGGAGCAAACAGG